GGGAGGUGGGGUGGGCAUGUUUUCGGCAGCCAAUGGUCCAGGCAGAGUGGAGUUUCCCGGAGGGUGGGCUGGGAACUUUAACAAAGCAGGAGCUCUCCCGAAACACAAACAAACACUUGGGCUUUUUCUGCGUGCAGACGGCUCACACUCACCCGGAGAAGAAAACCCCAGGAGAGACCCUGACCAGGAGCUAACGUUCGUCGGGGAUCUUACCCUGCUGUGAGCUCUCUCUCCCUGGCAGGGCGCUCGCUGGGCGGCGGAGAUCGUGAGGAGAUUUCUUUCGGCACGGGAGAAGAGUCAGAUCUCGGGAUCGGGGAUGAAGGCUCUGCCCAAGAACCAAGGACGGACGGACUAUAUUCUGGGUGCCAUGGGUGACAUCCUUUCAUCCCUGGCGCUGCCCAGCCAGCAGUGGGCCCCUGAUGCCUCUGAAGAGGAGCCGCUGCUGUGUGAGACGACCCAGAGGUCAGAGCGUGUGGACUGGGGCGCUGAGCCCCCAGACCCCCAGGAAGAGACAGCACGGGGUGACGGCCUGGGGAGAGGGGAGCUGACAGGUCAAGGUAGGAAGAUUUGGUUCCCAUUGCUGGAUCAGGAGAGAACUUCUUCUCUUUUUCUCCAAAAUCUGGAACUGUCACUCACUGUACGUUUUAGGGAUUGAUGGGGGAUCGGCAGUUAUUUGAGCCUGAGGUGUCUGGUUAGACACUGUCGAGAAGCCCCCAGUUAUGUCCCCCUAUCCCAGGAACCCUUGGGGCAGUCCCGGUCACAGAUGGCUGAUGACAUCACCCAGAAUCGAACCUGCAACAUCUGAUCAGUGAACGCCUUGAUGGGUGUGCCUUGUGCCCUCUUGUAAAAAACCUAGAAACGACAGCAGGAGGAGAGAGUCAGAGAGUGUGUCCUCAGAUCCUGUUCUGAAGAGGACACCUGCUUUGCUCUGCACACAAGCGCGUGUUUGGGUUUCCAUAUGUGGGGACCAGCUCACCAAGAACAACAAGGAUGUGGAAAUACUGGAAGGCAGCUAUAGAGUUCAUUGCAAAGACACUUAGCAAGUUAGUGCAGGGUAAAUGCACCAUUACUGAGCCACGCCCAGUG
Molecule: long non-coding RNA, 1086 nt
Filed under: Lepisosteus oculatus (spotted gar)
Lineage: Eukaryota; Metazoa; Chordata; Actinopteri; Semionotiformes; Lepisosteidae
Description: lncRNA (ENSLOCG00000021033.1)
Source: RNAcentral